GACGAACGCUGGCGGCGUGCUUAACACAUGCAAGUCGAACGGAAAGGCCCUGCUUUUGUGGGGUGCUCGAGUGGCGAACGGGUGAGUAACACGUGAGUAACCUGCCCUUGACUUUGGGAUAACUUUAGGAAACUGGGGCUAAUACCGGAUAGGAGCUCCUGCUGCAUGGUGGGGGUUGGAAAGUUUCGGCGGUUGGGGAUGGAGUUGCGGCUUAUCAGCUUGUUGGUGGGGUAGUGGCUUACCAAGGCUUUGACGGGUAGCCGGCCUGAGAGGGUGACCGGCCACAUUGGGACUGAGGUACGGCCCAGACUCCUACGGGAGGCAGCAGUGGGGAAUAUUGCACAAUGGGCGGAAGCCUGAUGCAGCGACGCCGCGUGCGGGAUGACUGCCUUCGGGUUGUAAACCGCUUUCGCCUGUGACGAAGCGUGAGUGACGGUAAUGGGUAAAGAAGCACCGGCUAACUACGUG
This 468-nucleotide ribosomal RNA is filed under the name uncultured bacterium. RNAcentral describes it as "partial 16S ribosomal RNA". It matches the Rfam family "Bacterial small subunit ribosomal RNA", at positions 28 to 507 of the family's 1533-position model. The record is from RNAcentral.